RNAcentral lists this unclassified non-coding RNA (488 nucleotides) under Metschnikowia sp. JSKim-2014. RNAcentral's name for it is "partial contains 18S rRNA, ITS1, 5.8S rRNA, and ITS2". The stretch from base 120 to 273 matches the Rfam family "5.8S ribosomal RNA". Lineage: Eukaryota; Fungi; Ascomycota; Pichiomycetes; Serinales; Metschnikowiaceae. The record is from RNAcentral.
UCAUUAUUUGUUUUGGUCCGAAUGACCUUAUCAGAUUCUACCACCUCUGUGAACCGUUGACCUCCGGGUUAAUAAUCAAACAUCAGUGUAACGAACGUAAGAGUAUCUUAAUUAAACAAAACUUUUAACAACGGAUCUCUUGGCUCUCGCAUCGAUGAAGAACGCAGCGAAAUGCGAUAAGUAAUGUGAAUUGCAGAAUUCAGUGAAUCAUCGAAUCUUUGAACGCACCUUGCGCCUUUUGGUAUUCCGAAAGGCAUGCCUGUUUCAGUGUCAUGAAAUCUCAAUCUAAUAUGUUUUCUGAACAUGUUAGGCUUGGACUUGGGUGUCUGCCAGCAAUGGCUCACCUCAAAUGACUUAGUGGAACAUCCCACAUCAGUGUUAGACGUAAUAAGUUUCGUCUCUCCUUGUGGUGAUGACUGCUCAAAACCUGCCAUCGCGCACCUUUUGACUUUGACCUGAAAUCAGGUAGGGCUACCCGCUGAACUUAA